This 460-nucleotide ribosomal RNA is filed under the name uncultured bacterium. RNAcentral's name for it is "partial 16S ribosomal RNA". It matches the Rfam family "Bacterial small subunit ribosomal RNA", at positions 338 to 795 of the family's 1533-position model. The record is from RNAcentral.
CCUACGGGAGGCAGCAGUGAGGAAUAUUGGUCAAUGGACGAGAGUCUGAACCAGCCAAGUAGCGUGAAGGAUGACUGCCCUAUGGGUUGUAAACUUCUUUUAUAUGGGAAUAAAAUGUUCCACGUGUGGGAUUUUGUAUGUACAAUAUGAAUAAGGAUCGGCUAACUCCGUGCCAGCAGCCGCGGUAAUACGGAGGAUCCGAGCGUUAUCCGGAUUUAUUGGGUUUAUAGAGAGCGUAGGUGGAUUGUUAAGUCAGUUGUGAAAGUUUUCGGCUCAACCGUAAAAUUGCAGUUGAAACUGGCAGUCUUGAGUACAGUAGAGGUGGGCGGAAUUCGUGGUGUAGCGGUGAAAUGCUUAGAUAUCACGAAGAACUCCGAUUGCGAAGGCAGUUCACUGGACUGCAACUGACACUGAGGCUCGAAAGUGUGGGUAUCAAACAGGAUUAGAUACCCUUGUAGUC